RNAcentral lists this ribosomal RNA (972 nucleotides) under Triticum aestivum (bread wheat). RNAcentral describes it as "partial small subunit ribosomal RNA". Lineage: Eukaryota; Viridiplantae; Streptophyta; Magnoliopsida; Poales; Poaceae. The record is from RNAcentral.
AUGAUACUGCUCCAAUCCCCAUCCAGGUUCCUACUCCAGAUCCUGAAGGAUCGCGUCGUCAGCGGCGACAAGGGCGUGGACAUCGAUUGCCACACGGUGGAAUUCGACGAUAUGCGGUAUCAUAUCCAGUUUUCAAUGAGGAAUCCAAAGGUAAUGGUGCUAUCAGUGGCAUUGCCCCUCGCACCUCCUGAGGCUAUUCUGCACGACGGGCUUCCUCUUGGUGCCAUUGAUGCUAUAAAGGCGGCAUAUGGGGCAGUGGUUCAAAUUCUUGAUCCUCCAAAGGACUGCUUUGAUGUCACAAUGAAGAUAAACUUAACAAAGCUUCCGACAGAUGAAGAGCAGCGGAAUGUUGUCUUGACACGAAUUGCAUCUGUGAGAGAGGUUGUGCUGGGUGCACCGCUGAAGCUUCUGCUCAGGCAUCUAGCUUCAAAGACAGUGGCUCCUAACGUGGAUAAGCUGGUUGCCCUUGUUCACCGUCCUAAUGAAUCGUUCUUCCUUGCUCCCCAGGCAGACAAAGUUACGGUUGUAUACCCAAUGAGGUUCCAGGAUUCGAUUGAUAUUGUCUUGGCAACUUCGUUUCUGCAGGAAUUUGUAGAAGCAAGGCGGACUGCUGCACUUAACAAUGCCCCUUCCUGUAUGUGGUCUCCAGUACCACCUCUUGAGUUAAAAGGCGUGAAUGCUGAUGCACUUGAUGCAAAUGCUGGUUUUGUUACUUUUGUUGUUUUCCCUCGGCAUGUUGAGGGUAGAAAGCUAGACAAAACAGUUUGGAGUUUGUUAACCUUUCAUGCUUAUGUAAGCUACCAUGUAAAGUGUUCUGAAGGAUUCAUGCACACCAGGAUGAGGCGUAGAGUUGAGUCUCUGAUCCAGGCCUUGGACCGUGCUAAAUCCGAUGCAGAGAAGCUGAAGAAGUUGGUACAUGGCGGGUCUUUUAGGAGACUGAGCAUGAAGCACGAAGGCAACUCUAAUCACUGA